AUGUCGACUUGGAGGUUGUGCCCUUGAGGCGUGGCUUCCGGAGCUAACGCGUUAAGUCGACCGCCUGGGGAGUACGGCCGCAAGGUUAAAACUCAAAUGAAUUGACGGGGGCCCGCACAAGCGGUGGAGCAUGUGGUUUAAUUCGAUGCAACGCGAAGAACCUUACCUGGCCUUGACAUCCACGGGAAUUUGGCAGAGAUGCCUUAGUGCCUUCGGGAACCGUGAGACAGGUGCUGCAUGGCUGUCGUCAGCUCGUGUUGUGAAAUGUUGGGUUAAGUCCCGCAACGAGCGCAACCCUUAUCCUUUGUUGCCAGCGAGUAAUGUCGGGAACUCAAAGGAGACUGCCGGUGAUAAACCGGAGGAAGGUGGGGAUGGCGUCAAGUCAUCAUGGCCCUUACGGCCAGGGCUACACACGUGCUACAAUGGCGCAUACAAAGAGAAGCGACCUCGCGAGAGCAAGCGGACCUCAUAAAGUGCGUCGUAGUCCGGAUCGGAGUCUGCAACUCGACUCCGUGAAGUCGGAAUCGCUAGUAAUCGUAGAUCAGAAUGCUACGGUGAAUACGUUCCCGGGCCUUGUACACACCGCCCGUCACACCAUGGGAGUGGGUUGCAAAAGAAGUAGGUAGCUUAACCUUCGGGAGGGCGCUUACCACUUUGUGAUUCAUGACUGGGGUGAAGUCGUAACAAGGUAACCGUAGGGGAACCUGC
Molecule: ribosomal RNA, 708 nt
Filed under: uncultured bacterium
Lineage: Bacteria
Description: bacterial SSU rRNA
Rfam family: Bacterial small subunit ribosomal RNA
Source: RNAcentral